GGGAGAAGAAGAGGAGGAGCUAGUUUAGGGGAAGAGAUGAUGAGUUUGGGUUUUGGACAUACUGAGUUUCCUGGACAUCAAGAUGGAAGUGUGGAGGUCAGCAAAGAGGUUCGGGCAGGUGAAGAAAGAGAAAGACAGUCGUGGCAUCCUUGGAGAACCGAGCCAUGACACUGGCUUCAGAUUUGAAGAGCAGGGAGCCGUUGUAGUGGUGGUCAGAGGCGACUUUUGUUAGCUUUGAGCUUUAGAUGGCACCUGGAGCAUCGGAAGACCAAGUGAUGCUACUACAGUCAAAAAAGGCAACCUACGUCAGUGACAAGAUUUCAGUUCUGAACUUCCCCAUACUUCUUUCUGGUCUGCCAUGUUCUCUCUUCCGUUACAGGUAAACAUGUUUUUAUCUCUUCUCUGGAGUCAACUGAAAGCAUUAGGCAGGUAAGGCUUAUAUUUUAUUUUAUUAGAUCCAAGCCAGCACCAAGCACACCACUUUGAUGAUGGUAAGCAUUAUCUAAACACUCAGUCAGGUACAUGCAGAAUUUGCAGGCACAUGUGCAUCAAAUCUACAUCAUGUACAUCAUGUACAUGUAAAAGGCAUCUACACACAUGAUUCUAGAUUUGAGAUAUGUAAUCAUAUGAGUAUAUUCAAAGAAUCAACGAAUGAACAAAAGUGAAUGAAUGAUUUCUAAAGAAGUGGAAAAGUCAGUUAUUGAAACCUUACUUGAGGCUGAUCAAUGACUUCUAGUAACUGAGGAUGGAUGGACGGUGAUCCCACAUUGAAGUCUUUGCAAAUCACAAGUGAGAUGUUUGUGGUACUAAAAAGGCAUCUCAGAAGCUUAAAAGUGAUGGGAAGGCCAUCACUCUGCUGAAGUCACCCUUGAGUCCUCUCAGGUGGGAAAAGACUUUCCCCAAAAUGAGCAGAGUGCAACACGGGAACCCCUGGUCUCAGCUGUAGAGCUAACAGAUGACCAAAGAUGCGAUGACUGUGACACAUACAUAUGUGUAGGUGAUAAUAUAUUCACCUGAAAACUAGUGGACCUUGCCACCAUGUGACCAUCCCAUUUUACAGUUUGACCCAAAGUAUUUAAGAGAGUGUUUGCAUAUACACACAAACAGCAUUGAUUUCCUUAUUGAAGUCAAUUCUCUUCCUGAAAUAUAGAAACAUUGUCAAUAGAGCAGUUUCCUAAAAGUCUCUACCCUGAAUUCUGGACCUUGUUUCUUAGUAUUCCAUUGCUAAUCAG
This 1232-nucleotide long non-coding RNA is filed under the name Monodelphis domestica (gray short-tailed opossum). RNAcentral's name for it is "lncRNA (ENSMODG00000033961.2)". The record is from RNAcentral. Lineage: Eukaryota; Metazoa; Chordata; Mammalia; Didelphimorphia; Didelphidae.